AAUAAAUAAAAUCCAAGUAAAGCACUAAUAUCAAACAACCAGCAAGAGUCCACCAAUGGGGAGGCAGGAGUGACACGUGACCAGCGCCUCUCAGUCAGCCCUCCCUUACUUCCUUGCGGGGCGGCGGGCAGCGGGCGGCGGUUACUCUCACGCUCCCGCUGUGUUGACCUUUAUUGGAGUGUUUUGACGAGUGACAGCGGAUCCAACACCACCACGGGGACUCCUACGCACCAGACUAGCCGAGCACAUCAGCACACACCGCGAUGACUCAUUGAACUGGCUGCCCCUCGUGACCUCCUGGAGUGACCCUUCUGACCUCCUGCGAGACCUGCAUUGCCCCCUUGACCAAUACCAGGCAGUUUUUGUGACCUUAGCCUGACAUUAUGAAGUGUGAGGUCACAGCCUGGUGAAGCGGAUCAGGCUGAGCGGCAGCAUGAUUAGAUGAGUACUGGUGAACAGACGAUCUCACGACACCACCACCACCACCACCACCACCACCACCACCACCACCAUCAUCAUCAUCAUCAUCAUCAUCAUCAUCAUCAUCAUCACCACCACCACCACCACCACCACCACCACCACCACCACCACCACCACCACCACCACCACCACCACCAUCAUCAUCAUCAUCAUCAUCAUCAUCAUCAUCAUCAUCAUCAUCAUCAUCAUCAUCAUCAUCACCACCACCACCACCACCACCACCACCACCACCACCACCACC
Molecule: long non-coding RNA, 721 nt
Organism: Scylla paramamosain (green mud crab)
Lineage: Eukaryota; Metazoa; Arthropoda; Malacostraca; Decapoda; Portunidae
Exons: 2
Source: RefSeq, a predicted model, not a curated record